Molecule: ribosomal RNA, 492 nt
Filed under: uncultured bacterium
Lineage: Bacteria
Description: partial 16S ribosomal RNA
Rfam family: Bacterial small subunit ribosomal RNA
Source: RNAcentral
AUUGAACGCUGGCGGCAUGCUUCACACAUGCAAGUCGAGCGGUAACAGGCCUUCGGGUGCUGACGAGUGGCGAACGGGUGAGUAAUGCAUCGGAACGUACCCAGAGGUGGGGGAUAACGCAGCGAAAGCUGUGCUAAUACCGCAUGUGAUCUGAGGAUGAAAGCGGGGGACCGAGCAGCAAUGUUUGGCCUCGCGCCUUUGGAGCGGCCGAUGUCGGAUUAGCUAGUUGGUGGGGUAAAGGCCUACCAAGGCGACGAUCCGUAGCUGGUCUAAGAGGACGACCAGCCACACUGGGACUGAGACACGGCCCAGACUCCUACGGGAGGCAGCAGUGGGGAAUUUUGGACAAUGGGCGCAAGCCUGAUCCAGCAAUGCCGCGUGCGGGAAGAAGGCCUUCGGGUUGUAAACCGCUUUUGGCAGGAACGAAACGGUGUCCGCUAAUACCGGGCGCUAAUGACGGUACCUGCAGAAUAAGCACCGGCUAACUACGUG